Molecule: ribosomal RNA, 515 nt
Filed under: uncultured bacterium
Lineage: Bacteria
Description: partial 16S ribosomal RNA
Rfam family: Bacterial small subunit ribosomal RNA
Source: RNAcentral
GAUGAACGCUGGCGGCGUGCCUAAUACAUGCAAGUCGAGCGAAUGGAUUAAGAGCUUGCUCUUAUGAAGUUAGCGGCGGACGGGUGAGUAACACGUGAGUAACCUGCCCAUAAGACUGGGAUAACUCCGGGAAACCGGGGCUAAUACCGGAUAACAUUUUGAACCGCGUGGUUCGAAAUUGAAAGGCGGCUUCGGCUGUCACUUAUGAAUGGACCCGCGUCGCAUUAGCUAGUUGGUGAGGUAACGGCUCACCAAGGCAACGAUGCGUAGCCGACCUGAGAGGGUGAUCGGCCACACUGGGACUGAGACACGGCCCAGACUCCUACGGGAGGCAGCAGUAGGGAAUCUUCCGCAAUGGACGAAAGUCUGACGGAGCAACGCCGCGUGAGUGAUGAAGGCUUUCGGGUCGUAAAACUCUGUUGUUAGGGAAGAACAAGUGCUAGUUGAAUAAGCUGGCACCUUGACGGUACCUAACCAGAAAGCCACGGCUAACUACGUGCCAGCCGCCGCCGUAA